This 696-nucleotide ribosomal RNA is filed under the name Brevibacillus brevis. RNAcentral's name for it is "bacterial SSU rRNA". It matches the Rfam family "Bacterial small subunit ribosomal RNA", at positions 39 to 707 of the family's 1533-position model. The record is from RNAcentral. Lineage: Bacteria; Bacillati; Bacillota; Bacilli; Caryophanales; Paenibacillaceae.
GUGGUAAUUCCCAUGUGUAGCGCAGUCGAGCGAAUGGAUUAAGAGCUUGNUCGUUAUGAAGUUAGCGGCGGACGGGUGAGUAACACGUGGGUAACCUGCCCAUAAGACUGGGAUAACUCCGGGAAACCGGGGCUAAUACCGGAUAACAUUUUGAACUGCAUGGUUCGAAAUUGAAAGGCGGCUUCGGCUGUCACUUAUGGAUGGACCCGCGUCGCAUUAGCUAGUUGGUGAGGUAACGGCUCACCAAGGCAACGAUGCGUAGCCGACCUGAGAGGGUGAUCGGCCACACUGGGACUGAGACACGGCCCAGACUCCUACGGGAGGCAGCAGUAGGGAAUCUUCCGCAAUGGACGAAAGUCUGACGGAGCAACGCCGCGUGAGUGAUGAAGGCUUUCGGGUCGUAAAACUCUGUUGUUAGGGAAGAACAAGUGCUAGUUGAAUAAGCUGGCACCUUGACGGUACCUAACCAGAAAGCCACGGCUAACUACGUGCCAGCAGCCGCGGUAAUACGUAGGUGGCAAGCGUUAUCCGGAAUUAUUGGGCGUAAAGCGCGCGCAGGUGGUUUCUUAAGUCUGAUGGGNAGCCCCACGGGCUCAACCGUGGAGGGGUCAUUUGGAAACUGGGAGACUUGAGUGCAGAAAGAGGAAAGUGGUAAUUCCCAUGUGUAGCGGUGAAAAGCAACAAAUAUGAAGGAAC